This 264-nucleotide ribosomal RNA is filed under the name uncultured bacterium. RNAcentral describes it as "partial 16S ribosomal RNA". It matches the Rfam family "Bacterial small subunit ribosomal RNA", at positions 524 to 776 of the family's 1533-position model. The record is from RNAcentral.
GACGUAGGGCGCGAGCGUUGUCCGGAUUUAUUGGGCGUAAAGAGCUCGUAGGCGGCUCGUUGCGUCGGCUGUGAAAAACCCGCAGCUCAACUGUGGGCUUGCAGCUGAUACGGGCGGGCUGGGAUUCGGUAGGGGAGACUGGAAUUCCUGGUGUAGCGGUGAAAUGCGCAGAUAUCAGGGAGGGAAACACCCGGGUGGGCGAAAGGCGGGUGGUCUGGGGCCCGGCACUGACGCUGAGGAGCGAAAGCGUGGGUAGCAAACAGG